CUGGCAACAGCUGAAGCAUGCGCAGAGUACCUCCACUAUUUCAUGGGAACGGAAAUAAAGAUGUAUAAAAAGGAACUGUUUGAACUGCUCAGCACGGCAGUUGGCGGAGUACAGACUCCCCUGUCGUCCAGCGCUGUCUUUGCUUAUAUUCUACUUGCUAUAAUUAAUAAAAUUUUAAUUGGAUAAUGAUCCGUUGUGGUCUCAAUUUAUAACAAUUUUCUGGUGCCGUGACUCGGAUAAGGAACGGUGGGCUUUGGUCCUCUGGGGAGGCGCCCCGCGACAUUUCGCGGCCCCGCGACCAACAGCUCACCCCAACCUUACCGACGAACCUAAAUUCUAGAAUAAUAAGCAAAGGAGAAACCGGUAAAAUCCCAUAAAAAUUCUGUGCACGGGAGUCCGGACGAAGACGCAGGAUGCUUAAAGCUGCAAAGUGGGAAGCCUAUGUGAAUAGGCAGAAAGCCAGAAACAGCUGUCCUCCUGAAGAAUUCCCUUGCUGCCGAGAAGAUGGUACACCCCGUGGCUCGAAGCAACCGAGUCGACGGGCGAGGCAGAAGAGGAACAAACUGUGGAGAAAAGAACCAGAACAAUGGGACGCAAAAGCAGCAAUGGCUGAACUUCCCCAGGACUGGUAAAAAUAUACUUAAAUUGACAAAAUUGACAAACACCCUUUUUCCUGGUAUACC
Long non-coding RNA from Pezoporus occidentalis (night parrot), 683 nucleotides. RefSeq lists it as uncharacterized. NCBI's taxonomy places the organism in Eukaryota, Metazoa, Chordata, Aves, Psittaciformes, Psittacidae. The transcript is spliced from 2 exons. The record is from RefSeq and is a predicted model, not a curated record.